Carassius carassius (crucian carp) is the source of this 3209-nucleotide RNA transcript. It is a transcript of the gene named KH domain-containing, RNA-binding, signal transduction-associated protein 2, with no coding region annotated. The record is from RefSeq and is a predicted model, not a curated record. NCBI's taxonomy places the organism in Eukaryota, Metazoa, Chordata, Actinopteri, Cypriniformes, Cyprinidae. The transcript is spliced from 13 exons.
AUAUCUGACAUUAGCAUUCAGUUUGCUCUCUGGCAUGAUUACCAAACCAAAUAUAGAUGGGCGGAGUGAGAGUACAGAUUCGGAGUCUGAGGUGGGAGGUUUUACAUGAGAGACUCGAGGAGAUGGGUACACUGCAUUGAUAUCUUCCACGUUGUGCGCGAAAACCACACGAUCCCUCCCCGAUAUUACGCAGUCUAUUUAAACGCAACAUCCACACACCCAUUCCAUCACUCACCACUUUGGUCGUCUCACCUGUACUCGCAGUGUUCAGGAGAGGAACCCAGUGAUGGAUCAGGACAAGUACCUGCCAGAGCUCAUUGCCGAGAAGGACAGCUUGGACCCGUCGUUCGUCCACGCGAUGCGCCUUCUUGCUGAAGAGAUUGAAAAGUUUGAAGGAGACGAGUUGAGAAAAGAUGGCGAGGUGAAGAAAUACUUGGAUAUCAUCAGCAACAAAAACAUCAAGCUGUCGGAGCGCGUGCUGAUCCCGGUGCAGCAGUAUCCUAAGUUUAAUUUUGUUGGGAAACUGCUGGGGCCCAGGGGCAAUUCCAUGAAAAGAUUACAAGAGGAAACAGGAGCAAAGAUGUCCAUCCUCGGCAAGGGUUCAAUGAGGGAUAAAGGCAAGGAGGAAGAGCUGAGGAAAAGUGGAGAGGCGAAAUAUGCCCAUUUGAGCAACGAUCUUCAUGUUUUAAUUGAAGUUUUUGCACCACCUGGAGAAGCCUAUUCCCGCAUGAGCCAUGCCCUGGAGGAGAUUAAGAAAUUCCUUGUUCCAGAUUACAAUGAUGAGAUCAGGCAGGAGCAACUUCGUGAGCUCUCCUACUUAAAUGGCUCAGAUGACCCAAGCCGAGGAAGAACCGCACGAGGACGAAGCUUACGUCUGACCUCCACAGCCUCCACCCGAGGUCGAGGGGGGGCAGCUGCACCCCCUCCACCUGGACGAGGAGCAGCAGCACCCAGAGGAACUGUGGGAACACGCACCUCUGUCCAAACCCCCACACUAGCCAGGGGAGUGUCUGCACCCCGGUCCAGAGGAACUGCAGGGACCCCUGGAUACAGAGCCCCGCUACUGCAGGCCACGCACAAAUCAUAUGAUGACUACGGAUAUGAUGAUGGGUACGAUGGGGAAUAUGAUGACCAGAGUUAUGAGGGCUAUGAUGACAACUACAGCAACCAGUCGAAAAGUGUCUCAGAAUAUUAUGAAUAUGGACACGGUAAUAAUGAUGAAGCUUACAACAAUUAUGCAGAAGAGGACUGGAUAUCAUCGCGGCCCAACCUCAAAGCUCCAGCAUCAAGACUUACUCGAGGGGGCUAUAGAGAUCACCCCUAUGGUAGAUAUUAAAGGUACCAGUCUCUCUGUGAGCUGAGAUGCAGUGGAUUGAGUCAGACUGGGCCUUCUGCUGUCGAUAUGUGGAGCAUACUGAUAAAAACCAAUCAGUGAGAAGUGAGGGGGCUCCGUCUCAUUUGGCUGAGGAAGAGUCUGUGCUUAUAAACAGUCUGUGCACAGACGCUGUAUGCCAGUGUUGAACUGUUCAUUUCCAUGGAUCUGAAUAGAGCUGAUCUUGACUGAACAUCACUGCAGGGCACAGAUGACCACUGCGUAUCAAUCUUGUCUUAAUGAAAUCUGAACACUGUCUUAUGAAAUGGACUUCACUCUGGAUUGGCUCACUCAGACCACGUAGAAGGUCCAAGAAGAUACCUUCAAGUUGUACCACGUCCAGUUAGAAUACUUUAAAGAUCCAUAAAUUCAAUAUGGCAUUAUGGUGUUAAGAUCAAUAUAGCAACAUAAGGCAUGCCACAAAUUGUGGUAUAAUUUGAGGCUAUGCUGAUCCUUACAUUGUUUUUAGGUUUAAAUCCUUUCUCAUGCACAGUGCUAUGCUGUAAGGUCUUGCAUUUUUUUGGUCAUAUAUCCUCUUUUCACUUAAUCUUUUUUAUCCCACAGGACAAAAAAAGGACAUAAUUGGAUUAAAUGGUUGUUGAAGAUGAAGUAUAUUUUGUCUAAGUACGUCAUCUACGCUGUCACCUCAAUGAAAGCUAAAUGAGAAGGUUUAACUUGGUGCAUUAAAUCUUGAUAUACAACCACGUAUAGCUAAAUACUUAUAUCUUCAUGCAACACAAACAGUUUUCUUGUAUUUUUGGGUUUAUAGAAGCAGCUUGUUUUUGUGCUUUCUGCCACAGUGUCACCUGUGAGCUUAUGACUCAGUUUGCUGUUUGAACCUGUGCUGUCAAAGCCUGAGGCGUCAAAAAUUAUUUACCAUGUAGACAAUACAUACAGUAAGUGAAUUUCACACAAAGGUUUAUCUUCAUUGAAACGUUGUAUGUAAUCAAAAUCCAGUGCUUAAAUCUACACAUAUUCUCAUUAAUGCUUUGAGUUAUCCUCAGCUGAAUGUGUUUUGAGCUUUUUCUCCUUGCAGUGGGAAUUUCUAAACAUCCAAUCAUGGUUUUUUUUAAGUGGCAUUUUAACACCGUCUAAGUGCCCUUGAGGUUAUCAACACAGCUCAGACCGAAUUUUAAAAUUCAAUUUCCUUAUGACUGUACAAAUGAAACAGCAUCUUUCUGGAGAAUGUGAAAAGCUUGAAAGACUAAACGCAUAUACCUCAAAGCAAUCAAUAGUUUGUACAAAAUGGUUUGUCAAAUUGGAGUUUGCACUCAUCUCGACUAAAACAGUAAAGAACAUUUAAGCACAUUUUUUUCUAGUCAUAAGUCUUUUAUAUCUGACCCCAGUAUGAAUCCAGUUUACUGCCAAUUUCACUCAGCAGUUGUCAGCGAAUCUAGCAGUUCUCUCUGUUAUUAUCUAUGUGGUACAGGGAAUAAAGGAAAUGCUUUUAUUUUUUUUAUUUUUCUUACCAGGUUCUGAGACUCAGUAGUGAGAAAUGUGAACUCAGCCACAAUCAAAUUAAAGUACUCUUCAUCGUAAUGCUCCAGUAAAAUGACACGUCCCAUAAAAAAGUGAAUUCUCUCAUGUAUUGUAAUACAUAGAAGUACCAGUGAUAAAAUCAUGACCAGCAACACGGUUUUAUACUUCACAGUACAUAAUAAAGCUUUGAAUCACACCUCUGCAUGAAGUCUUAUGUAGUGUUUAUUUCAGUUCUAGACGUGUGCUGCGAUCUUCAGACUUGAGUAACAGUUCCCAUCAUGCAGUGUUCUGUUUCAGCUCUGAUCAAACACACCUGAACCCCAUCAGGGUCUACAGGUUUUACAUGAAAAUCACUGGC